This 85-nucleotide transfer RNA is filed under the name Ipomoea nil (Japanese morning glory). It matches the Rfam family "tRNA". Rfam says of the family: Transfer RNA (tRNA) molecules are approximately 80 nucleotides in length. Their secondary structure includes four short double-helical elements and three loops (D, anti-codon, and T loops). The record is from Rfam by way of RNAcentral. Lineage: Eukaryota; Viridiplantae; Streptophyta; Magnoliopsida; Solanales; Convolvulaceae.
GGGGUGGUGGCGCAGUUGGCUAGCGCGUAGGUCUCAUAACUUCUAAGUGAUCCUGAGGUCGAGAGUUCGAGCCUCUCUCUCCCCA